Molecule: long non-coding RNA, 849 nt
Organism: Sapajus apella (tufted capuchin)
Lineage: Eukaryota; Metazoa; Chordata; Mammalia; Primates; Cebidae
Exons: 2
Source: RefSeq, a predicted model, not a curated record
UGAUUCUGGAAAUCGACUUCGGUUUCAAUUGGAAUUGGAAUUUGUGCAAUGUUUAGCCAACCCAAAUUACCUUAAUUGUAAGUUUUUAAGCACCUCGUUCAAUUAAUUGAGUAGCUAUUAAUUUCUGACUGAAGAGUUGCAAUUCAAAAUAGUAUCUACUUGUACACAUUUUCACUGGAAUGAAAUUACACUUAUGCUGGUUUAUAGAUGUAAUUGUGCACACUGGGACUUGUGUUUUGAAUCCGACGUGUGUUGGUGGUGGGGAUAUUAUGUAACUAGAUCCUUUAUAUUAGGGGUAACAAAUCAUAGCUGAAGAACUGGUUUGAACUACAGAUUUUCUUUUUUUUUAAUGCUUUUCAAUUCUUGCCUAGAGAGGUUACUUCAAAGACAAAGCUUUUGUUAAUUUUCUUAAAUACUUGCUUUACUGGAAAGACCCAGAAUAUGCCAAGUAUCUAAAGUACCCUCAGUGUUUACACAUUAGAGCUGCUCCAAUAUGAACACUUCCAAAAGGAGCUGGUGAAUGCCCAGUGUGCGAAAUUUAUUGAUGAACAGCAGAUUCUACACUGGCAGCACUAUUCCGGAAGUGGAUGCGCCUUCUGCAAGCCUUGGCAGAGCAGCAACAGCAAAAUAACACAUCGGGAAAAUGAAAAACUGGAUACAGACGAGGCUCUGAAGAUACAUAUAUAUAUAUAUUUCUUUUGUACAGUGAAGACAAAAAAAAAAAAAAUGAAAACUCUUCCUAUCUAGCUUAUUAUGGUAGCCCUUAGAACCUUUAGUGCGCUUUUCAAUCCAGCUAACUUUUUAUUGUCAAUAGACUAUCACUGUUAAACCUGAAGUGUUCUACUUUGA